GGAUAAAAGUCGUAACAAGGUUUCCGUAGGUGAACCUGCGGAAGGAUCAUUAUUGGAUUUUGAAACUUCAGGCUGCUGCUGGCUCUCCUCGGAGGGCAUGUGCACGCUUGUUGUCCAUUAUUUCUCCCACUGUGCACAAAUUGUAGACCUUUCAGUAGGCCUAUGUUGUUUUUCACAAUCUCUGAAUGUAAUAGAAUGGUUUUGAAUCUUGGGAAAUACAAUACAACUUUCAGCAACGGAUCUCUUGGCUCUC
This 253-nucleotide unclassified non-coding RNA is filed under the name plant metagenome. Its description in RNAcentral is "partial contains small subunit ribosomal RNA, internal transcribed spacer 1, and 5.8S ribosomal RNA". The stretch from base 1 to 52 matches the Rfam family "Eukaryotic small subunit ribosomal RNA", at positions 1780 to 1831 of the family's 1831-position model. The record is from RNAcentral.